Molecule: unclassified non-coding RNA, 199 nt
Filed under: uncultured Rhizophagus
Lineage: Eukaryota; Fungi; Glomeromycota; Glomeromycetes; Glomerales; Glomeraceae
Description: partial internal transcribed spacer 2
Source: RNAcentral
UAAUUAAAAUCGAUUGUGUUGCUUUUUUGUGGUACUGCUUUUCGGAAUUGAACCUUUCUUAACCUUUUUGGUUAAGUGGUUUAAAAUUUAUCUGGGCGUGAUUUAAACGUACUUAAAAGAUUCUUUUUUACGUUUUUAGCCGCCGAAUUUUUAUUAGGUAUGACCUUAUUUUUGUGGUUACAUAUCUAUAUUUUCAUUU